This 300-nucleotide long non-coding RNA is filed under the name Bos taurus (domestic cattle). RNAcentral's name for it is "long non-coding RNA NONBTAT001894". The record is from RNAcentral. Lineage: Eukaryota; Metazoa; Chordata; Mammalia; Artiodactyla; Bovidae.
AAGGGGAACAUCCAAAGAGGACAGUAUAUUGCCUUAGAACAUUUAGAAAUUUGAUAGAUUGCUUGAUCUUUACUGUAGUUUUUAAAUUACUGGUUGAAUAAAAAGGAAUGUUAUUUUCUGCAAGUAAGAAUGCUAUUAAUUAUACUGCAUUGGACUUUUUUUAUAGAGACAUAUGCACACAAAUCUUUAAAGUAUUUUAAGGUACUGACCCAGCAGUCCAAGCACCAUCUGGUUUUGUGGAUGGGAGUUUUCAUAAAAGUCUUAAAAAAAUCAGUUUGAAAUAUAUAUGUAUGUUUAUCA